Molecule: non-coding RNA, 124 nt
Organism: Triticum aestivum (bread wheat)
Lineage: Eukaryota; Viridiplantae; Streptophyta; Magnoliopsida; Poales; Poaceae
Source: Rfam
AUAGUACUCCCUCCGUCCCAAAAUUCUUGUCUUACUACGGAUGUAUUUAACACUAAAAUAUGAAGAAAUACAUCUGUAUAUAGACAAAUCUAAGACAAGAAUUUUAGGACGGAGAGAGUAGAAU